UCAUAUCGACGGGGUUGUUUGGCACCUCGAUGUCGGCUCAUCACAUCCUGGGGCUGGAGCAGGUCCCAAGGGUUCGGCUGUUCGCCGAUUAAAGCGGUACGUGAGCUGGGUUUAGAACGUCGUGAGACAGUUCGGUCCCUAUCUGCCGUGGGUGUUCGAGACUUGAGAGGAGCUGUCCCUAGUACGAGAGGACCGGGAUGGACGCACCUCUGGUGGACCUGUUGUCG
RNAcentral lists this ribosomal RNA (227 nucleotides) under Picochlorum sp. RCC944. RNAcentral's name for it is "partial Bacterial large subunit ribosomal RNA". It matches the Rfam family "Bacterial large subunit ribosomal RNA", at positions 2500 to 2726 of the family's 2925-position model. The record is from RNAcentral. Lineage: Eukaryota; Viridiplantae; Chlorophyta; Trebouxiophyceae.